UUUGGAUGAAGGGAGCUCUCCCCUUCCGCUGUCAGACUGAGUGUGAAAGGAGAGCGGCUGGAGAGAGUGGGGAAGCGCUGAAGGCGCGGCUGUCCAUGUGGGGCUGUGUCAUUGGUUUGGAGCAGACUCCGCCCGCGGAGCGCAGCUCGAUCGCAGGCAAAGCCGGACCAAGCGAGGCUUCUCCCCCCCGCCCCCCAGUCCUCUCUCUCUCUCGGUGUGUGUCUAACUCCAUCUGUUUGUUUCUGGAGGAGGAGGAAGCUGCUCUCCUCCUCCUUCCACCCACCCCCCCAUUCCCAUCCAGCGAUAGCAAGCCCGGACAGUGAAAGGCGUUCGCCCAGGGUUUCAGCAGGAAGCCGCUUGGAUCUCCCAGUCUCUGCAAGAAAGGAGCUGCUGCUGCUGCCCCGGGGAGGGGGGGAGCUGAGAGAGGAGAUCGGCUCCGGCACUCGGAUCUUUACAGGCUGUUAGUUGGAGGAUUAAGUUUUUUUUUUAACGUUUUAUUUGUUUUGUUGUGUGUGUUUUGGAUGUGGACCAGCUGUCUGCGGAGAGCCGACGGGAAACGUGUGCGGGGACAGCGAGUGAUGGAGAUGCGGAGAGUGGCGGCGGCGGCGCCCAGGGACGGGCGGCUCUAACUUGGCGGCGAUCAGAGACAGAGAGAGGAUUUGGAUUGGAGUUAUGCAUAUGAGCUACCGUGGAUUCACCUGAAUUGUGACCACCUCAAACCCUCAUUGCUUGUUAUAUUGGGACGAAUUCAUUAAAUAGCAUUGCUCAUGUCUCUGAUGGACAAGCACAAAGUGAAGCGACAGCGAUUGGAUCGAAUUUGUGAAGUGAGUGGAAGAAAAGAUUAGGUGGAGCGCAGAACGGUGGUGGGGCAUAUAAUGGAUGGAAUGUAUAACAGGACAG
Non-coding RNA from Chiloscyllium plagiosum (whitespotted bambooshark), 900 nucleotides. Lineage: Eukaryota; Metazoa; Chordata; Chondrichthyes; Orectolobiformes; Hemiscylliidae. The record is from RefSeq and is a predicted model, not a curated record.